AAGAGACAGCAGUAGCCACGGGAAUACGUAGGUGGCAAGCGUUGUCCGGAAUUAUUGGGCGUAAAGCGCGCGCAGGCGGCCUAUCCAGUCUGUCUUAAAAGUUCGGGGCUCAACCCCGUGAUGGGAUGGAAACUAGUAGGCUAGAGUAUCGGAGAGGAAAGCGGAAUUCCUAGUGUAGCGGUGAAAUGCGUAGAUAUUAGGAAGAACACCAGUGGCGAAGGCGGCUUUCUGGACGAAAACUGACGCUGAGGCGCGAAAGCCAGGGGAGCGAACGGGAUUAGAUACCCGAGUAGUCCCUGUCUCUUAUACC
This 310-nucleotide ribosomal RNA is filed under the name uncultured bacterium. Its description in RNAcentral is "partial 16S ribosomal RNA". It matches the Rfam family "Bacterial small subunit ribosomal RNA", at positions 503 to 808 of the family's 1533-position model. The record is from RNAcentral.